GGCUUGUUGGUCUAGUGGCAUGAUUCUCGCUUUGGGUGCGAGAGGCCCGGGUUCGAUUCCCGAACAAGCCC
Molecule: transfer RNA, 71 nt
Filed under: Lytechinus variegatus (green sea urchin)
Lineage: Eukaryota; Metazoa; Echinodermata; Echinoidea; Temnopleuroida; Toxopneustidae
Description: tRNA-Pro
Rfam family: tRNA
About the family: Transfer RNA (tRNA) molecules are approximately 80 nucleotides in length. Their secondary structure includes four short double-helical elements and three loops (D, anti-codon, and T loops). Further hydrogen bonds mediate the characteristic L-shaped molecular structure. tRNAs have two regions of fundamental functional importance: the anti-codon, which is responsible for specific mRNA codon recognition, and the 3' end, to which the tRNAs corresponding amino acid is attached (by aminoacyl-tRNA synthetases). tRNAs cope with the degeneracy of the genetic code in two manners: having more than one tRNA (with a specific anti-codon) for a particular amino acid; and 'wobble' base-pairing, i.e. permitting non-standard base-pairing at the 3rd anti-codon position.
Source: RNAcentral